This 792-nucleotide long non-coding RNA is filed under the name Setaria italica (foxtail millet). RNAcentral describes it as "long non-coding RNA (SITA_LNC002933)". Lineage: Eukaryota; Viridiplantae; Streptophyta; Magnoliopsida; Poales; Poaceae. The record is from RNAcentral.
ACCUUCACUUGUAAGUAAAGCAUGAACAUAUUUGCUAGUUAAGAUUACAUGAUGGAGAAACCUUUGCAGUUAAGAUUACAUGAUGGAGAAACCUUUGCUCUCAACAGGUAUCAAUUAGUUAGGAAUGAUGUCUACAAAAACAAUUGGUUGGGUUUCACAACAAAAACAGGUAUACUAUUAGGUUGGCAAGUAACGUGAACUAAAAGUACUGUUAGGCCUAUUGAAAGCCUCCACGAGUCUUUGUAACUAAGAGGAAUGUGUUAGAAAUUUAGGCAUUAUUUGGUAUAUUUUAAUUCCGAAACUAAUUAUGUAAAAUGACAAUAUUUCUAUGACUAUGGUGAGUGAAUUGAAGCAUGUGCGAGUAUUCAUGUUUAACACAAUUUUAAGCAUGAACAGAAUGAAACAAAGAGGUUUCAGUGUUCAUGUUUAACACAAUUUUGUAACACCCAAAUUUUUAAAGAAUUUAAAUUCACAAAAAUUUUCUCAAAUUAGGAUGUCAUUUAAAUUUCUAGGCAUUUAAUUUCACUUUCUCUAAAUUUAAUCAAUUCGUCAUAGGAGUUAUUUGUGCAUUACAUGCUGGUGCAUUUAUUUUGAUUGCUUCUGUUUGAAUCAAAUUUGAAUUUCAAAUUCAAUUUCAAUUUUCAAAAUCUUUCCUUUUCUCCUUUUCUUUUCUUUCUCUUGGGCCGCAUCCUUCUCCUUCCCUUUCUUUCUUUUCUUUCGGCCCACUCCGCUUUUUCCUCCUCGCGGACCAGCGCCUCAACUCCACUGGCCCACGCCACCUUUCUCCCUCGC